RNAcentral lists this non-coding RNA (89 nucleotides) under Candidatus Moduliflexus flocculans. Its description in RNAcentral is "Bacterium UASB14 c-di-GMP sequence". It matches the Rfam family "c-di-GMP-I riboswitch aptamer". Rfam says of the family: GEMM was predicted in a large-scale screen for bacterial structured RNA regulatory elements. Lineage: Bacteria; Candidatus Moduliflexota; Candidatus Moduliflexia; Candidatus Moduliflexales; Candidatus Moduliflexaceae. The record is from Rfam by way of RNAcentral.
UUCAGAAAAGACUAAAUUCGCCGCGAGGUGAAGACGGAAAGCUACGGAUCUUAUCCUUGAGAGGAGAAUAAGAUGGCCGGGUUGCCUGA